UGGGGAAUUUUGGACAAUGGGCGAAAGCCUGAUCCAGCAAUGCCGCGUGUGUGAAGAAGGCCUUCGGGUUGUAAAGCACUUUUGUCCGGAAAGAAAUCCUUGGCUCUAAUACAGUCGGGGGAUGACGGUACCGGAAGAAUAAGCACCGGCUAACUACGUGCCAGCAGCCGCGGUAAUACGUAGGGUGCAAGCGUUAAUCGGAAUUACUGGGCGUAAAGCGUGCGCAGGCGGUUUGCUAAGACCGAUGUGAAAUCCCCGGGCUCAACCUGGGAACUGCAUUGGGUGACUGGCAGGCUAGAGUAUGGCAGAGGGGGGUAGAAUUCCACGUGUAGCAGUGAAAUGCGUAGAGAUGUGGAGGAAUACCGAUGGCGAAGGCAGCCCCCCUGGGCCAAUACUGACGCUCAUGCACGAAAAGCGUGGGGAGCAAACAGGAUUAGAUACCCCUGGUAGUCCACGCCCUAAACGAUGUCAACUAGUUGUUGGGGGAUUCAUUUCCUUAGUAACGUAGCUAACGCGUGAAGUUGACCGCCUGGGGAGUACGGUCGCAAGAUUAAAACUUAAAGGAAUUGACGGGGUCAUAGCUG
Molecule: ribosomal RNA, 584 nt
Filed under: uncultured bacterium
Lineage: Bacteria
Description: partial 16S ribosomal RNA
Rfam family: Bacterial small subunit ribosomal RNA
Source: RNAcentral